RNAcentral lists this long non-coding RNA (1794 nucleotides) under Carassius auratus (goldfish). Its description in RNAcentral is "lncRNA (ENSCARG00000004194.1)". The record is from RNAcentral. Lineage: Eukaryota; Metazoa; Chordata; Actinopteri; Cypriniformes; Cyprinidae.
UUUAACAUCUUUCUACUAUAUAUUAGUCUUCCUCAAAUACUUAAAUCUGAAUUUUGUUCGUUUGAAUCUUUAUUCGAAUCUUUAGUUUUUUAGUCUGAAUCUCAACAUGUUUGAUGUUCAUCUCCCACAUGUUCUAUUCUAUUUUCUAUUCUGUAAUAAAUUUUUGAUAUGAUUACAGCAGUUUCCUGUUCUUGCACAGAUAUUAAAUAUCCUGUUAUAACAGGUGAUCUGUUCCUGAUCUAUAUAUGCCAUUAGAGAAACUCUGAAAUCAGUCUGAGAGGAGAAACAAUUGAGACUUUUGAUGAGAAAUGAAGAACAAGUGGGAUGAAGACAGUUACAGGAGAGAACAGAGCCAAAUACUCUCAGGAUUUCAUCAGGCAACUGCUGUAAAACAAUUUUUACUUCUCUGAUCAUGUUAUGGUGCAUUUUAUAUCGGCUAAAAAUGACAACACUGAACAGAACAGGAAGCUGCAGCUUGGAAGUGUCAAUGUUCGGAGUGUAAAUUAAUCAGCAGAAAGAGCUGGAGGGUCACACUCGUCAACACGGAAUACAAAGGCAGUUAUUCAGCUGACAGUAGGCUACUGAACAGCAGAAAAUGAAAGCAAUAUGUAAGUCUCUUGUCAAGUGUUUCCCCAGUUUGGAAAAAAAGCAGAAACACUUAAUAUAGAUAAUGUAUUAAGUGCUAUUAAAAUAAAAAAAUUAUAUAUACGGUUUAUCAGUAUAACCUUGUACAAAUAUUUUUGUAUUAUGCAUUUAAAUGGGUGACACUGGUCCCAUCUUGAGUUUGAAAUGGUAACUGACUGUAAAAAAAUGGGCCUCUGAGAAAUUUCUCAAAUGAUCUUCUGUAGAGUGAUUUUUAUUUAUCCUUUGUUACUGUAGUGAACUGAGACAACUGUUGUAUAAAUCCACCAUGAUGUUACUUUAAUUUCAGAAAUCAUUGAUGUAGACCUCUACAAUUCUCUUUCCAGGAGAAAACACUAAAGUAACCUCACAUGUGCUUCAAAUAGAGUUUCAAAUGAGUUAUUUUGCUCAGAUUUGGAGGACCUCUUGAGGUCUAAUCAGUUCACUGCUGUGUUCAGUGGUGGAUGUGGGUUAUGUGACUCUCUCCUGGUACAAAAGGAAACAGUUUAUUGUCCAGCAUCAGUGUGUCUGAUCUCAGCAUCAGUCUCUCCCUACUUCUGGAGGUGGAAUAUCAGGAUAAAAACAGCUACAGCUGUGUGCUCAACAAUCCCAUCAGAAACCAGACCAUACAUCUGGACAUCAGCAAGCUCUGUCACUCAUGUUCAGACUCUGUCCACUGUUGUGGUUCUACUGAAGCUGUGAUCCGAUUGGUCCUCUCUGCUCUGGUGGGUGUGGCUACUGUCAUUCUUCUGGUUCAUGACAUCAGAUCCAGAAGAGCUGAACAGGCUCGAGCACAGAUUUACUCAUCAGGUACAUAAUUUAUGUAAUUUCUUACAAACCAUUUUUGCAUGUAUACAUAUUUGUGAGAUUUGUUCAUUAAUGGCUUUAUUUAUAUAUUCAUCUUUUUCAAAAACAACUGAAAUCUAAAGCAGAAUCCAGAACUUUAAAGGUUCUUCAAAGUCAGCUUUGUUCUUCUACUAUAUUUGUCCUAAUAACUACUGAUGUUUGCUUGAGCUUGUGCCAUCUCUUUUCCUUUUUAAUUUUUUUUUAUGGUUUAUAAGGUCUUAUUUUUAUAUUUUCCUCACAUAAGACAGGCAGAUCUCACUUUACUAUUACAGCUAUCUACAUGCCUAAUGUAUCUGCCAGAAAUUAUCAAUAAAGAUUUCUCUAAGG